UGUCCCAGUGAUCCUAGGAGCCGUCAGAGGCUUCAUGCCUCUCUUUGGGUCAGGUCUGCCGGGACAAACGGGCCUAGGUGAGGGAUAGGACUAAGAGCAGCCCAAAGAUUGCUUAGAAAUAUAAACACAGAAUGUUCAUAUUUGGAGAUGGUGAUAUAGACAGGGUUCCCGCUUACAACCAGAGCUAUGGACAGAAGUCAGUUUCUCCCAGUGUUUUAUCACCCUGUUGGGCCAACAGGCUUUAUUCCCCGACCCCCCCACCCCUCCCCAACAGGCUUUGGGUUGUUAUUUUAGAUGGGAAUUUUUCUACACUAGUGACAGUAAAGACAGAUUAAAGUAAAGGUUUAAAGUUGAAAUGUUGAACUGACUGCGGAGUUGUGAACCAAUUAUGCCGUCCCAUCAGUUGCCUAUUGGCUUCACGUGCUGUUACUUCUGAGUUUUGAUGCCUGAUCCUGCACCUCAGACUUUCUGUAACUUGACAUUUGUUAACUCAAACACGUAGCAGACCGCUGAUGGACGACCUUAGCAGCUCUUCCACCAGGUCCAGCAAGUUUUCUGGAGGAAACCCUGGAAGCUUUCCCAGGGAGAGUUUCAUCAGGUGUGCCACAGCAGCUUGAUGGAAUCAGACUCCAGUACCGUCAGUAAUGAGCCGACCGGGUCGCCAGUGUAUCUCUACGACUCUCUCAUCUGAGGCGCCAUUGGUGGGGGAGAUUUGAGAUCAAACCGCCUGAAAGUGGCCUGACCUGUUGAGUUUGAGUCGCUAUGUCACACUGAGUCGAUGGAGACUGGAAGAGAGGAGACACAACGAACUUUUCCUGCUGGGCAGAUCUGAGAGAAGAAAAUUAGGAUUUAACUAUACCGUCCUAAUGAGAAGCCGCUUUCUGACCCAGAUGAACUCCAUUAAUCCAUCCAUUAAACAUGUUAAACACAAAUUAAGAAGAAUUUGUCUGUGUUGGUAAUUAUUCUAUGGCUGUAUGUCUGAUUGUUAUUUAAAUUGUCAUUAUUACUAUUAUGUUUCCAUAGAUUUUUCUUGUCUUAUGAGUUAGUUUGUAACCAUUUUGACUAUGAAAUAUAUUUUGUUUGUUGGCUCUUAAGCACAGUAUAUCGAACAGGAAGAUGAAUAUUAUAACAUUGUUUUAAUUACAAACUUUUGAUAAUUAGGGUAUUUAUACAGAAAUGCAUUAAAUUGAGAUAAAGAUAGGAUUAAAUAAGUGUUCUUCCUAUUCCUUUUCAAACAGCAAAGGAGUGGUAAGCCAAUUAUUUUGUUGGUUAUGUAUGCAGGAUUUUUUUUCUGUCCUACAAAUUGCUUGUUUUUGAAGACCUGUUUGAAAUAAAUCGAAUAUUUGUUGGUUUGAGUAAGUUAGAAGCACUUACAGAAUAGUGCUGCUAUAAUUGUUUGUGUGCUAGAAGUGAGCUAAGGUGGAAUAAUUUUUUGUGCCAGGUUGUAAAUAUUGAUUUUGAAGCAGGUCAAAGAGAAUCCAGUGCUGUAACGGCUGUGAAUUAAUGGAGAUGCUCAUUGUUGCUCUCAUAUCUUGUCUGUCAACAGUCGUCCUUAAUAAAGGAACCCAUAAAACAACAGUUUAACUACUUGUGUGUGUAAUAGCGGUGUAAUAGUGUAUAUUAGGUGUACAGUGACCUGCGCAAUCCGGUGGACACAUUGUGGCCACGCUGUAUUUGAUAACAGACUACCAUACAAUGUAUUAAUGUGCAAAAAGAGCUUGCGGUGAUCUGUAUUUGUAGAUGUCUGUGUUUUAUUUAAUUUCAAUAAAAACCUGUUUCACCCGUCUGAUAC
Xiphophorus hellerii (green swordtail) is the source of this 1792-nucleotide long non-coding RNA. RefSeq lists it as uncharacterized. The transcript has 2 exons. The record is from RefSeq and is a predicted model, not a curated record. NCBI's taxonomy places the organism in Eukaryota, Metazoa, Chordata, Actinopteri, Cyprinodontiformes, Poeciliidae.